This is a long non-coding RNA of Fundulus heteroclitus (mummichog), 1499 nucleotides long. RefSeq lists it as uncharacterized. NCBI's taxonomy places the organism in Eukaryota, Metazoa, Chordata, Actinopteri, Cyprinodontiformes, Fundulidae. The transcript is spliced from 3 exons. The record is from RefSeq and is a predicted model, not a curated record.
AUUACUUAAUUAGUGCAGUUUCCAUUAAAGGAUUUUGAAUUUUUACAUUUGGUUUUUACUCAAAUAUAGGGAUCUUUGAAACUUAAUGAUUGAAAGACUUCAUCCAUAAAAGAAAGAAUGUUUUAAAAACUUUUGCUAACAGGGCCAAACUAAUUAUUGAUGGUGAAAAUUAGAUGAUUACAAUGUCAGCAGCUUCUGAUUAAGUGCUAUUAAGAAAUUUGCAAGAAGGUCAACUGUUAAAUUAGUCAUUCAAAAUGCUUGUCUUAAAGCAAACAUACUGACUGCUUACUGCUGAAUGCUCAUUUACCUAAUAGACCUGCUUUAUUUAGGUCAGUUUGGGGUGAGAAGGAGAUGCACAACUAAAGUUGAAAAGAACAAAGAUCUGCCUUCAGCCAAAGAAAGAUCAGAUGACGAGGUACCAGUGGCCAUUGAAGUCUCUGGAAAUUCUAACACAACUAAAGAGCGAUCACAAACAAAGAGACAGAAGUGGAGCCAAGAAGAAGUCCAGGCAGUGGAGAAAACGCUCAUGAACUGUAUCAACUUUGGAACUGUUCCUCGGAAAGCCGAGUGUAUGAAGUGCAUUGAAGCCUCACCAGUGGCCCUCAAAAACAGGACAUGGCAAGCAGUUAAAUUCUAUGUGAAAAACCGCAUAGACGCAUUAAAACGAAAAACUUUCAAAAGAAGGCAAGCGUUGACCUUUUAUUACUACCCUUUUAUUAAACGGGCCAUUUGUUAGUGCCACAUCCAAGCUGCUUCUGUUUGGAGUUUUGAAUUUUUAGGACAGUUGCAGUCAAGGUCAAGUCAACUAAAACUGCAUGUUCAUAUAUACGUAUUGAUGAAUAGGUAUUGUUUUAGUUUUUCAUUUAUUUGUACAUAUUGGCUUGUAUGUAUUCUUUGCCAUAAGAUAGAAAUUUUGAAAUCUAUUCAAUAAAAUGGCUUACAUACAACCAGAAAGAGGAGUCCAGUAUUAAUGGUUAGCAAUAACAAGGUUACCAGGUACUUAAUUAAAUUAGAAUUUAUAAAUAUUUUAUUAACCCAAAAGAAAAAUUGAAGGUUGUGGCUCCUAUUCUGCAGGUUUCUUCAAAGAACUAUUGUAGAUUCUGAUGCCUGUAGACAGGAAGGAUCUUCUGUAGCGAUCUUUAUUACAGGAAAUCUAAUGAAACCUGAUACUCUGGUGUUGUAUAACAGUCUGAUGAAGAGGAUGUUUGGAUCCAGGAUUUUUUAUUUUUAUGCAAAACCAUUCUUUGCACAAUUAUUUCCAGAGGUUCUAGAGGAGCACCUGCCUUCUUAAUCAGCUUGCUGAACUUCUUUAGGUUGAUUGCUCUGAUGCUGCCACACCAAAAGAUGUAAAAAAGAUCACAAAAACAUAUUUUUUUAUAAAAAAAUUCUAAUAUAAUGUGGUUUAUUGAUUUAAAAGAACACUGAUUGCUCAUAUUUGAUAUCUUCGAAUGUAUCUUGGUUUUCCCUAAAACUAAACCCAACACUGCCACCUGGUGGUU